RNAcentral lists this ribosomal RNA (439 nucleotides) under uncultured bacterium. Its description in RNAcentral is "partial 16S ribosomal RNA". It matches the Rfam family "Bacterial small subunit ribosomal RNA", at positions 339 to 795 of the family's 1533-position model. The record is from RNAcentral.
CUACGGGCUGCAGCAGUGAGGAAUAUUGCACAAUGGGGGGAACCCUGAUGCAGCAACGCCGCGUGGAGGAUGACGCAUUUCGGUGUGUAAACUCCUUUUAUAUGUCAAGAAAAUGACGGUAGCAUAUGAAUAAGCACCGGCUAACUCCGUGCCAGCAGCCGCGGUAAUACGGAGGGUGCAAGCGUUACUCGGAAUCACUGGGCGUAAAGGACGCGUAGGCGGGUUGGAAAGUCAGGUGUGAAAUCCUACAGCUUAACUGUAGAACUGCACUUGAAACUUCUAAUAUAGAGUAUGGGAGGGGGAGAUGGAAUUAGUGGUGUAGGGGUAAAAUCCGUAGAUAUCACUAGGAAUACCUAAAGCGAAGGCGAUCUCCUGGAACAUUACUGACGCUAAGGCGUGAAAGCGUGGGGAGCAAACAGGAUUAGAUACCCGUGUAGUC